AUGGUGGCCCUGAGGUGCAAAACACAAAGGCAAAUCAGAAAACACAACAAAAUUAAUCAUUGUGUUUUCUCUUUUUGUGUUGUGUUUUCUCUUUUGCCGUUGUGAUUUGCAUCUCAGGGCCACCGUA
Non-coding RNA from Xyrichtys novacula (pearly razorfish), 127 nucleotides. Lineage: Eukaryota; Metazoa; Chordata; Actinopteri; Labriformes; Labridae. The record is from the annotation of a GenBank genome assembly.